CGGCGGACGGGUGAGUAACACGUGGGUAACCUACCUAUAAGACUGGGAUAACUUCGGGAAACCGGAGCUAAUACCGGAUAAUAUUUCGAACCGCAUGGUUCGAUAGUGAAAGANGGUUUUGCUAUCACUUAUAGAUGGACCUGCGCCGUAUUAGCUAGUUGGUAAGGUAACGGCUUACCAAGGCGACGAUACGUAGCCGACCUGAGAGGGUGAUCGGCCACACUGGAACUGAGACACGGUCCAGACUCCUACGGGAGGCAGCAGCU
This 266-nucleotide ribosomal RNA is filed under the name uncultured Staphylococcus sp. RNAcentral's name for it is "partial 16S ribosomal RNA". It matches the Rfam family "Bacterial small subunit ribosomal RNA", at positions 96 to 355 of the family's 1533-position model. Lineage: Bacteria; Bacillati; Bacillota; Bacilli; Caryophanales; Staphylococcaceae. The record is from RNAcentral.